This 506-nucleotide ribosomal RNA is filed under the name uncultured bacterium. Its description in RNAcentral is "partial 16S ribosomal RNA". It matches the Rfam family "Bacterial small subunit ribosomal RNA", at positions 29 to 523 of the family's 1533-position model. The record is from RNAcentral.
AGUGAACGCUGGCGGUAGGCCUAACACAUGCAAGUCGAACGGCAGCACAGAGGAGCUUGCUCCUUGGGUGGCGAGUGGCGGACGGGUGAGGAAUACAUCGGAAUCUACUCUGUCGUGGGGGAUAACGUAGGGAAACUUACGCUAAUACCGCAUACGACCUACGGGUGAAAGCAGGGGACCUUCGGGCCUUGCGCGAUUGAAUGAGCCGAUGUCGGAUUAGCUAGUUGGCGGGGUAAAGGCCCACCAAGGCGACGAUCCGUAGCGGGUCUGAGGGGAUGAUCAGCCACACUGGAACUGAGACACGGUCCAGACUCCUACGGGAGGCAGCAGUGGGGAAUAUUGGACAAUGGGCGCAAGCCUGAUCCAGCCAUACCGCGUGGGUGAAGAAGGCCUUCGGGUUGUAAAGCCCUUUUGUUGGGAAAGAAAUCCAGCUGGCUAAUACCCGGUUGGGGUGACGGUACCCAAAGAAUAAGCACCGGCUAACUUCGUGCCAGCAGCCGCCGUAA